This is a long non-coding RNA of Dioscorea cayenensis subsp. rotundata (Guinea yam), 1108 nucleotides long. RefSeq lists it as uncharacterized. Lineage: Eukaryota; Viridiplantae; Streptophyta; Magnoliopsida; Dioscoreales; Dioscoreaceae. The record is from RefSeq and is a predicted model, not a curated record. The transcript has 3 exons.
UCCAAAACAGCUCCCCCUUCUGAAAAACCCAUUUGCGCUGCUGCUGCUCGACGCCCUCGAUGUCCUCGGUAUUGUCCGGGAUUCCAGUGAUUCAUCCUGAGAUCAAGAUAAAAGGAGACGAUGCUGGAGUUCCAUGAGGCAUUCUAUCUGGAGGAUCUUCAAGAUAAUGUGCAAAGGAAAAAAAAUCAGUACUCUGUGUCCCCUUGUUUAUAAGAGAUGCAAGUUUGAUUUUCCUUGACCACGCUCCUGGUGGGACGUUUGGUAAUUCUCCCGCCCGCGUACGCCCUGAGGAUUGAUAUUUGUUACCCUACCUUAUAUAUAUAUAUAUAUAUAUAUAUAUAGUUGGUUAUUAAACAAUGUUCAAAAAUAAGGUUUUCUCUAACUGUUGGAUUGAAAUCCAACGUUUCUAUUGAAAGAACAAUGAAAAGUGGGAUGUGUGGUAACUUUUAGGAACAAUGAUCCACAAUGAAAAGUGAGAAGCAGUUUUUAAUCAAAACUAUUCGAUCAUGAUCAUUAUUGUUACAGUAUUUAGUAAAUCUCAAUCAACGAUUCUCAUUUCUAGUAGCACCUCAAACCCAAAAAAACUUGUACAUAAACCAACCAACCACCCUCUUUGCAACCGGGUACAACUUAAAGACAUUGUAUACAUCAUUGUUUUUGGUUCACUUCUCUCCUUGUCAUUUUGCCGCUCAACCUUUUCAUCCUUCAUUCUUUUGCGGGUGUUCGUAUACAGUGACAUAGUGCGUCUGGGUUGUACCUAGUUGUUGAAUGGGUGGUUGGUUGGUUGAUAGAAUUUUUUUUUUUGGGUUUUGAAGUACUACUAGAAAUGAGAUUCGAGAGUUGAGAUUUUGUUAAGCACUAUAGCUAUAAUGAUCGAACAGUUCUAGUUAAACAAGUGUGCUUUUUUUUUAACAGACACCAAUGUUCAUGAGAGGUACUGCACAUCCCAUUUUUUACUAUCCAUCCAAUGAAACCACUUUUUCACUGUUUAUUCAAUGGAAUCGUUGGAUUUCAAUCUAAUAUUUGGGAAAGAAUGUUUAUAGAUAAAUUAUUUAUGAACGUUCUCAAAAAAUUGACCUUAAUUUAUGAGAUGUUAAUAUACUAAAAA